This 273-nucleotide unclassified non-coding RNA is filed under the name Hevea brasiliensis (rubber tree). Lineage: Eukaryota; Viridiplantae; Streptophyta; Magnoliopsida; Malpighiales; Euphorbiaceae. The record is from RNAcentral.
GGCCCCCAAAAUGAAAAAUGAAUACCAAAACAAGCUGGAUCAGAUAUUUAUAUUACAGAGCAGAGCUAAUAAUGGAAAAUGCAACCAAACAAGCUUCCAUACAGAAUUUGACUAUCCCACAAUGGUGCAACCAGAGAGAAGCUUUUCAUAAAUAACUUGCCAUCACUCCAACGGCAAAGCAAGAAAAGACCAUAAAAUAACUCAGAUUCAUCACAGACAAGCACAGUUGUUGACGAUUUAACACCAAAAACCAUAUCAAAUCAAGGCAUCAGU